UCCUUCAAAACUUGGAACAUAACAACAAUGUUCACUAUCACCAUUUCUCUUCAGCGUCACCCUGGAGAUCCAGACCAGCACAGUAAGAUGAGGAAGGAGGCACAAAACAGAAAGACCCAGCUAAGGCUCCUGAGGACCCAUCCAAGGCUGGCUUUGUGUAAAAACAGUCCAUUUCCUCUUGCGCGGCUCCAAGCUGGAGAAGAAUUUGGCGUAGCAGCUUCUGAGAAGUUGAGGGAGGGGCCAGGCGGAAACUGUCCUGGAGCAAGCACUGAAAGGAGCAAUGCACUUGGUAUACUCAGGGCCGAAACACUUCCAGUGGAGGUCACCUGCAGCCAUUGGCAGCCUUAUUUGCAUUUUCUGAAGCCUCCUCUUUUCCCUAUCCUUGGAGUCAAGUCAGACUGCUGAGAAGUCAGAAGUCUCCCUCCGAAGCAACACGUGGCAUUUUUUCAAGCUGACAGUGUUCAUGGAAAAGGGCAAAGAAUGCUUUUAUGUGCAUUCAGAGAAGUCUCUUAAAUAAACAGUGUUUUCUGUGCCUUGGAACCUGCAAACCCAGGGACCCAGUCCUACUCAUGACAGGCUAAUUCCCCGGCGUUACACAGCCUUCUAGCUAAAUAGAGCAUGUCCAAAAUUUGAGCAUGUCAGAGGCUUGUUAAAACACAGAUUGCUGGGUUCCACCCCACGGGUUCCAUAGGUCUGAGACAGGGCCCCCAAAACAUACAUUUCUAACAAGCUCCCAAGUAAUUCUGAUACUGCUGGUACGGGAACCACGCACAAAACUCUAGAGAGAGAUUUGUAGAAUUCUUGCUGCUCUGUUAACACAUGUA
Molecule: long non-coding RNA, 824 nt
Filed under: Rhinopithecus bieti (black snub-nosed monkey)
Lineage: Eukaryota; Metazoa; Chordata; Mammalia; Primates; Cercopithecidae
Description: lncRNA (ENSRBIG00000045935.1)
Source: RNAcentral